RNAcentral lists this ribosomal RNA (440 nucleotides) under uncultured bacterium. RNAcentral describes it as "partial 16S ribosomal RNA". It matches the Rfam family "Bacterial small subunit ribosomal RNA", at positions 338 to 795 of the family's 1533-position model. The record is from RNAcentral.
CCUACGGGUGGCUGCAGUGGGGAAUAUUGGACAAUGGGCGCAAGCCUGAUCCAGCCAUGCCGCGUGAGUGAUGAAGGCCCUAGGGUUGUAAAGCUCUUUCGCCAGGGACGAUAAUGACGGUACCUGGAGAAGAAGCCCCGGCUAACUUCGUGCCAGCAGCCGCGGUAAUACGAAGGGGGCUAGCGUUGUUCGGAUUAACUGGGCGUAAAGCGCACGUAGGCGGAUCUUUAAGUCAGGGGUGAAAUCCCGAGGCUCAACCUCGGAACGGCCUUUGAUACUGGAGAUCUCGAGUUCGGGAGAGGUGAGUGGAACUGCGAGUGUAGAGGUGAAAUUCGUAGAUAUUCGCAAGAACACCAGUGGCGAAGGCGGCUCACUGGCCCGAUACUGACGCUGAGGUGCGAAAGCGUGGGGAGCAAACAGGAUUAGAUACCCGGGUAGUC